RNAcentral lists this ribosomal RNA (2977 nucleotides) under Fimbriimonas ginsengisoli Gsoil 348. Its description in RNAcentral is "bacterial LSU rRNA". It matches the Rfam family "Bacterial large subunit ribosomal RNA". The record is from RNAcentral. Lineage: Bacteria; Bacillati; Armatimonadota; Fimbriimonadia; Fimbriimonadales; Fimbriimonadaceae.
GAUUUGCAAGCUUUAGAGGGUGUACGACGAAUGCCUAGGGACAGAUUGCCGAAGAAGGGCGCGAAAGCGGCGAAACGCUCAGGGGAGCUGCACAGAAGUGUUGAUCCUGAGAUCCCCGAAUGGAGAAAUCCUAUCAGAGUAAUGUCUGGUAAUCCAUCGCUGAAUACAUAGGCGUUGAGAAGGCAACCCGGUGAACUGAAACAUCUAAGUAACCGGAGGAAAAGAAAUCGAAGAGAUUCUGCAAGUAGCGGCGAGCGAACGCGGAGGAGCCUAAACCAGUCGGCUUGCCGGCUGGGGUUGUUGGGAUCACUACUACCAUCCCCCUCGUUAAACAGGGGACUUCGGAUGGAGGCCUGAAGAGAAAUCGACGGAGCUUGCAUUCGAGGUUGGUAGAAAAGGGUACCGAAGAGGUUAAAGGAACAGGACUGGAACGUCCGGCCGUAGAGGGUGACAGCCCCGUAUUUAAAAACCAAAUCGAACUCAAGUGACACCCGAGUAGCACGGAGCACGUGGAACCCCGUGUGAAUCCACCGAGACCACUCGGUAAGGCUAAAUACGAUCUGUCACCGAUAGUGCAUCCAGUACCGUGAGGGAAAGGUGAAAAGAACCCCGGGUAGGGGAGUGAAAUAGAACCUGAAAUCGUACAACCCACAAACAGUCAAAGCACCAUGUCUAGAGCAAUCUAGUCAAGUGUGAUGGCGUACCUUUUGCAGAAUGAGCCUGCGAGUUGUUGGUAUUGGCGAGCUUAAGUCGUUCAGCGACGGAGGCGGAGGGAAACCGAGUCUGAAUAAGGCGUCAAGUCAGUACCAGCAGACCCGAAACUGCGUGAUCUAGCCAUGGCCAGGUUGAAGUGGUGGUAACACACCAUGGAGGACCGAACUCAUUGAUGUUGAAAAAUCUCGGGAUGAGCUGUGGUUAGUCCGGUGAAAUGCCAAUCGAACGCAGAGAUAGCUGGUUCUCCCCGAAAUGCAUUUAGGUGCAGCGUAUUGUGUUUUUCAAUGGGGGUAGAGCACUGAAUGGACUAGGGGCCUUACCGGGUUACCGAAUCCAACCAAACUCCGAAUACCAUUGAAGCAGCAAUGCAGUGAGACGGCGAGUGAUAAGAUCCGUCGUCAAAAGGAAAACAAUCCAGAUCGACAGCUAAGGGCCCUAAACGUGGACUAAGUGUGAAACGAUGUGAGAUCGCGUAAACAGCCAGGAGGUUGGCUUGGAAGCAGCCACCCUUUAAAAAGUGCGUAACAGCUUACUGGCCGAAUGUGGUCUUGCGCGGAUAAUGUAUGGGGGCUAAAGUCCACUCCCGAAGCUUCGGGAUCAGUUUACUGAUCGGUAGGGGAGCGUCGUGUUCAGCAGUGAAGCUAGAGCGUAAGCACUGGUGGAGCGGACACGAGUGAGAAUGCAGGCAUGAGUAGCGAUUACACAGGUGAGAAUCCUGUGCGCCGAAAACCCAAGGUUUCUCCGGCUAUGUUCGUCAGACGGAGGUUAGGCGGUCCCUAAGGUCAGGCCAGAAGGCGUAGCCGAUGGACAUCCGGUCGAAAUUCCGGACCCAGGACAAGGGCAAUGGGAAGACGCUUCUCAAUAUUCCAUCCCGCACUGUUGGUUGUUGCGGGCUAGGCUUAGGCUGGGCGACUUGAAAGAGUAGCGGAAAGGCUGAAGCCGGGGAAGGGAUCCCUUCGGGGUGAACGAACUGGAAUUGAGGGGGGCCGAGAAAAUCCCCACAGCAAUACCUUGUUUCUGACCGUACUGUAAACCGACACAGGUGGGUGAGUCGAGGAGACUAAGGCGUUCGAGAGAACUCUCGUUAAGGAACUAGGCAAACGAGCCCCGUAACUUCGGGAUAAGGGGCGCCUCGAAAGAGGUCGCAGCGAAGCAGCCCAGGCGACUGUUUACCAAAAACACAGGUCUCUGCUAAGGUGAAAACCGAUGUAUAGGGGCUGACGCCUGCCCAAUGCCAGUAGGUUAAUCGGAGAUGUCAGGGGGUAACCCUGAAGCAUCGAAGUGAAGCCCUGGUGAAUGGCGGCCGUAACUCUAACGGUCCUAAGGUAGCGAAAUUCCUUGUCGGCUAAAUACCGACCCGCAUGAAAGGCGUAACGACUUGGGCACUGUCUCAACGAGAAGCUCGGUGAAAUUGUAGCACCCGUGAAGAUGCGGGUUAUGCGCAGUAGGACGGAAAGACCCCGUGGAGCUUUACUACACCCUGACAUUGUGAAUUGGAUGUAGAUGUAGAGCGUAGGUGGGAGCUUCGGCACCAAUGGAACACCACCCUUCUGCAUCUGGUUUACUAACCCUUGCCCUUAUCGGGUACGGGGACAAUGUCUGGCGGGUAGUUUGACUGGGGCGGUCGCCUCCCAAAAGGUAACGGAGGCGCCUAAAGGUGCACUCAGGCUGGUUGGAAAUCAGCCGUUGAGCGUAUAGGUAUACAGUGCGCUUGACUGCGAGACAAACAGGUCGAGCAGGGACGAAAGUCGAGCUAAGUGACCCUCUGGUGGUGCGUGGGCACGCCAGGGUUCAUCGGAUAUAAGCUACCCCGGGGAUAACAGGCUGAUCUUGCCCGAGCGCUCACAGCGACGGCAUGGUUUGGCACCUCGAUGUCGGCUCGUCGCAUCCUGGGGCUGUACACGGUCCCAAGGGUUCCGGAGUUCACGGAUUAAAGCGGCACGCGAGCUGGGUUCAGAACGGCGUGAGCCAGUUCGGUCCCUAUCCACUGCGCACGUAGGAAAUUUGAGAGGAGUCGCUCUUAGUACGAGAGGACCGGAGUGAACCGACCUCUGGUGUACCAGUUGUUCCGCCAGGAGCAUACGCUGGGUAGCCACGUCGGGCAAGGAUAAGCGCUGAAAGCAUCUAAGCGCCAAGCCCACCUCAAGAUUAGAUUUCCCAUCAUAAGAGUAAGACCCCCGGAAGACUACCGGUUUGAUAGGUCGCGGCUGUGAGUCUGGUAACAGAUUAAGGUGAGCGAUACUAAGUGGUCGAGGGCUUGAAU